UACGUACCGCACGAACGUUAUUCGGAAUCACUGGGCUUAAAGGGUACGUAGGCGGCCUGGCAGGUGGGGUGUGAAAUCCCUCGGCUCAACCGAGGAACUGCGCUCCAAACCGCCAGGCUUGAGGAAGGCAGAGGUGAGCGGAACUGAUGGUGGAGCGGUGAAAUGCGUUGAUAUCAUCAGGAACACCAGUGGCGAAGGCGGCUCACUGGGCCUUUUCUGACGCUGAUGUACGAAAGCUAGGGGAGCGAACGGG
RNAcentral lists this ribosomal RNA (253 nucleotides) under uncultured bacterium. Its description in RNAcentral is "partial 16S ribosomal RNA". It matches the Rfam family "Bacterial small subunit ribosomal RNA", at positions 524 to 776 of the family's 1533-position model. The record is from RNAcentral.